ACUUCCGGCAGCGGGUUGACAAAUGGUGCUUUGAUAAUAAUGCUAUGCCCCUUUGUCAAUCCACUGCUGGACGA
This 74-nucleotide microRNA precursor is filed under the name Petromyzon marinus (sea lamprey). RNAcentral describes it as "microRNA pma-mir-4601 precursor". The record is from miRBase by way of RNAcentral. Lineage: Eukaryota; Metazoa; Chordata; Hyperoartia; Petromyzontiformes; Petromyzontidae.